This 568-nucleotide ribosomal RNA is filed under the name uncultured bacterium. Its description in RNAcentral is "partial 16S ribosomal RNA". It matches the Rfam family "Bacterial small subunit ribosomal RNA", at positions 355 to 941 of the family's 1533-position model. The record is from RNAcentral.
UGGGGAAUCUUGCGCAAUGGGCGAAAGCCUGACGCAGCCAUGCCGCGUGAAUGAUGAAGGUCUUAGGAUUGUAAAAUUCUUUCAGCGGGGACGAUAAUGACGGUACCCGCAGAAGAAGCCCCGGCUAACUUCGUGCCAGCAGCCGCGGUAAUACGAAGGGGGCUAGCGUUGCUCGGAUUUACUGGGCGUAAAGGGAGCGUAGGCGGAACAGCAAGUCAGGGGUGAAAGCCCGGGGCUCAACCUCGGAAUUGCCCUUGAGACUGUUGAUCUAGAGUUUGGGAGAGGUGUGUGGAACUCCGAGUGUAGAGGNUGAAAUUCGUAGAUAUUCGGAAGAACACCAGUGGCGAAGGCGACACACUGGCCCCAAAUACUGACGCUGAGGCUCGAAAAGCGNNGUAGGCAAACAGGAUUAGAUACCCUGGUAGUCCACGCCGUAAACCGAUGAGUGCUAGUUGUCGGACGGCAUGCCGUUCGGUGACGCAGCUAACGCCUUAAGCACUCCGCCUGUNAGUACGGUGCGCAAGAUUAAAAACUUAAAUGAAUUGACGGGGGUCAUAGCUGUUUCCUG